AUCCCCUCGACCGCUCGCGUCGCAUUUGGCCGCCUCCCUACCGCUCCAAGCCCAGCCCUCAGCCAUGGCAUGCCCCCUGGAUCAGGCCAUUGGCCUCCUUGUGGCCAUCUUCCACAAGUACUCCGGCAGGGAGGGUGACAAGCACACCCUGAGCAAGAAGGAGCUGAAGGAGCUGAUCCAGAAGGAGCUCACCAUUGGCUCGGUGAGUGGCCUCCUCCCCAGGACCCCUUUUCCCACCCUUGUCCUUUGGAAGCAGGAUUAGGGGAGAGAGAGGUGCCAGGUGCAUCUGACUCACAUUUACCCACAUUCUG
Molecule: small RNA, 311 nt
Filed under: Pan troglodytes (chimpanzee)
Lineage: Eukaryota; Metazoa; Chordata; Mammalia; Primates; Hominidae
Description: retained intron
Source: RNAcentral